AACGAACGCUGGCGGCAUGCCUAACACAUGCAAGUCGAACGAGACCUUCGGGUCUAUUGGCGCACGGGUGCGUAACGCGUGGGAACCUGCCCUUAGGUUCGGAAUAACUCCCCGAAAGGGGUGCUAAUACCGGAUAAUGUCUUCGGACCAAAGAUUUAUCGCCUUUGGUUGGGCCCGCGUUGGAUUAGCUAGUUGGUAGGGUAAAAGCCUACCAAGGCGACGAUCCAUAGCUGGUCUGAGAGGAUGAUCAGCCACACUGGGACUGAGACACGGCCCAGACUCCUACGGGAGGCAGGAGUGGGGAAUAUUGGACAAUGGGCGAAGGCCUGAUCCAGCAAUGCCGCGUGAGUGAUGAAGGCCUUAGGGUUGUAAAGCUCUUUUACCCGGGAUGAUAAUGACAGUACCGGGAGAAUAAGCCCCGGCUAACUACGUG
This 433-nucleotide ribosomal RNA is filed under the name uncultured bacterium. Its description in RNAcentral is "partial 16S ribosomal RNA". It matches the Rfam family "Bacterial small subunit ribosomal RNA", at positions 29 to 507 of the family's 1533-position model. The record is from RNAcentral.